GGGACAGAAUGGGCUAGAAAUUCCUGCUGAGACCAAUAGGGAGGCUUCUGCGUGGGGUGAUCUGGAAGACCAGCACUUUACUGGGCCAAUGAUAUGCCAGGGCUGCUCAGGCCUUCAAUGGAAGUCUGACUCAGAGAUCAAGAGACCAGUUUUGAUUUCAGUUUUGAGGGAGCUGAGAGAGAAGCAGAACAGCUCAGGGAGCCUCUCAUUAACUCGAACUCCUCACAAAGGGAGCCUAUGAAGUGCUGUGGGAUGUAGUGCAUGGGUCAGGCAGUUCUGGCCCUGCAGAGACCAGCAUCCAGAGUGUGAGAAAUCCAACCCAGCACCAGCACUGAAAGCCAUCCGAGACCUCCACAGGACUCCAGACCAGGUAACCAGGAGAGGACCCUGCCCCACCCAAGGAGGUGGACUGAAACUAUGAAAAGGAAGGACAAACACUCCAAGGCACUCUCUCCUUUUGCCUGUCACAUUCACUGUGCCUGAUGCAACAAAGGAAGCCUUUGGUCGGUAAGACUGCUGAAAGCAUGUGAUGUGAAAACUUUGCUUUGAAUUUAAUAUCAUUUAAGUUAGGUGGGGAAACUGAGACAAACUGAGACUACAUUACCUGCCCAAGAUGACAGAGGGAG
Mauremys mutica (yellowpond turtle) is the source of this 626-nucleotide long non-coding RNA. RefSeq lists it as uncharacterized. The record is from RefSeq and is a predicted model, not a curated record. NCBI's taxonomy places the organism in Eukaryota, Metazoa, Chordata, Testudines, Geoemydidae. The transcript is spliced from 3 exons.